UCCCCGAUCCUUCCUUCCGUCCUUCCUUCCCUUUCCCCUUCCCAAGUCCUUUGCCCCUCAGCUCCCAAGCAAACAUCUUCAUAUAAACUCAAGUGCCUGCUACACAUACAACACUGAAAACAAAACAAAACAAAAAGCAAACCAACAAAAUUCCCACAAAACAACGACCUGUAAGGCAGUUCGGCUUAUAUAUAUUUAUAGAUAUCUCUCUAUAUAUAACUUCCACACCAAUACAGAAAGAAGCUGCUGUUACAGAAAAAUUAUAAGACUUAAAAAAAAAAAAAGGGAGAAAAAGUACUUAAAAUAUAUAUAUAAUUUAAAAAAGAAAAAAAGGAAAGAAAGAAAGGAGAAGGUAUCUUUCCCCUGAGCAACGAAGCAGUGAGUUGACAUCCUGCUGUGAGUAUGGCUCGGGCUGCUGGGCAGGGCUCGAGUCUGGCUACGGCAGCAAUGCCAGCCUGAGUAGGUGCUCUGGGAGGAAAGCCCUGCCCUGGUUGUAUGAUAUGCACUGAAUGUGUGAAAUCAGUCCUCCCUUCUUGUCCUUGCCUCCCUUCCUUCUUCCCAGCCCACAGGUGAUGGGCACAAAGACAGGGCAGUGCCCCUGGACAAAUUCUCUUUUACCAAACCUUUCCUUCCCUCUCCGUCCUUCCCCGUCUCUCUCUGCCUUUUUCCUCCCUUCGACAUUUCAGGACAAUUUUUCUAAUUUGCUGAUUCUUAACUGUAUAGACUCAAGGCUUUCAAACACACAGUCAAAGGAUUGUGGCACCUACGGGUAUAACACACAAUGGGAACCAGCUGCCCUCCCGCAGCCAGCGCAUCGGAUGGGCCCAGCCCUCCCUCCUCCUCUACAGCAGAACUGAAAGAACCUCCACGGGCUGAGGGGGGUCCUGGAGACCCAUUCCUGAUUCAUCCCAACCCACUGUGGCAUGUGAGACAGGAGCGCCGUUCGUCUCAGUGCCCAGUGGAGAUGGCAACGUUGGGAGGAACCCCCCCAUGCCCCAUCCCUGCCUUUUCUCCCCACCUUUCAUUUUUGUUGGGGCCAUGGGAUUGUUACCAAGCCACAGCCAAAUUAGUGCAGACCCUCAGCACGGUUUGCAGCCUUGGAACGGUCAAGAUGAUUUGCAGCACCUGAGGAUUUGCAGUCCCCUUCCAGAAGGUCUUCCCAAAGGUGGAGUUACCCCCAUUGCAAUUAUGCCAUUUUAAAUAGAGCUGCGACCUUCACAUCUUAAAAGGGACAGCAGUAACUGCUGCACACAAGAAAAAGCACCGGGAUGAAAGAGGUACGCUUGUGUCAAUAAACAGCAGAAAACAGCCCCA
Molecule: long non-coding RNA, 1314 nt
Filed under: Numida meleagris (helmeted guineafowl)
Lineage: Eukaryota; Metazoa; Chordata; Aves; Galliformes; Numididae
Description: lncRNA (ENSNMEG00000023061.1)
Source: RNAcentral